GCUGCGCCAGCUGCAGGGUGGUCUCGGUCAGGGCCUCGCGAAGGCGCUCGUUCUCACUGCGCAGCUCGGCGUACAGCUGCGGGCCCAGGAGGGACAGGGCGUCAGGCUCGCCGGCAGAGACGCGGCAGGCUUGCGGGGGUGGGGUGGGUGGCUGCGGCCCGGCUGAGGCCGGAAGGGCGCAGAGUGCGCGGGUGGGUCAGGCAGGGCCCCUGGGCAGGGGGCGGCAGGGCAGGGAUACAAAGCCAACUGACGGGGGCUCAGUUAACGGUGGGGUCGCGAACCUUCCUGAAGCCUCCGUCCGGCUCGUCCGGUUCCGGCUCUGGGUCUGGGUUGAGGUCCCGCUGCCUGCGGGAUGAGGGAUCGCCCUCGGGAGUGCUGCGGUGGGGGCGGGGAGGCCGUCAUGGGGCGCCCACGGCCCCACGACAGCCCAGACCCGGCCUGCCCGCCCCAUACCUGGAUUCUGGGCUGCGGUCGGCCGGCGCCGGCUCCGCCUCCUCCCCCUGCGGGCGGAGGUGGGGUUCAGCGGGGAGGGGAGCUGGGCCCGCCCCCAGGCCCACCCGCGGCCCGCCGGGCGCCACCCCUCACCUCGGCAGGGCCCCUCCACUCCUUGCCGACUCUGCGGGGCUCCCUGGCCGCCUGCGGCCCCUGCCCUUGCCCGUCGGGCGCCUCUGCUGGGGGAGGGGCAGGAAUCAGCCCAAUGCUGGACAAGGGGUCCCUGGGCCCGACCCCCAGGAAAACCGGACGCGGGCCAGGAGGACUACCUCCCAGAGACCAGCCUCACCUCUCUGGGCUGGGCCAUCAGUGCUCUCGACCCCGGGGACUCGGGGUCGCCGGGAAGGGUCCUGUGGGGAGGGGCGGGGGUCAGAGAAUGAGGGCAUCUCUUCCCACCCACUGACCGAUCACCUGACCCCUCUCACCAGGCUCUGCACGCUCGACUUCUCGGCCUCCGGGGCCUUUCCUGCGGCCUUCUCUGCUUCCUUCAGGUCCGUCAGGGUCACACCCUGCACGGGAGUGGGCAGUCGGGGUGGGGGGGCCAGCCCCUUCAGGAUGGAGUCCAGGCCCCUGGCCCCUCCUCCCUCAGACCGGGGUCCGUCCCCUCCCACACCUGCGUGGACCUCCGAGACUGGCGCAUGA
RNAcentral lists this long non-coding RNA (1134 nucleotides) under Bos grunniens (domestic yak). RNAcentral describes it as "lncRNA (ENSBGRG00000015351.1)". Lineage: Eukaryota; Metazoa; Chordata; Mammalia; Artiodactyla; Bovidae. The record is from RNAcentral.